GGCACUGGGAAGGUCACUCGCCUCUCCUGGCCUCAGUCUUCAUCAGCUGUGAAGUGAGAAUAAGGACACCUUCCACCCUGGACCAUUGUAGAGAUGACGGGGGAGAGGAGUGGUACAGAGGAGGGCAGAGGAUCCAAGCCAGUCCACACCGAGGGUCUCGGGGCUUUCGCUGCAAGAUGGGAGCAGACCCUCACUCUCUGCUGCUGGAUCUGCACCUGCUUGUUUGCUGGCGGCAUAUCUGAGCGCCCACAAGGGUGGGGUCCUCUGGAUGAGAGUCAACACAGAGGGAGUGAAGAAAGCAAGCAGACGUGAGGACAAUACCGGAGCCCCAGUGCCCAUCCAUGAUGCUCCAGUUACACGAGGCAAAAUGCUAUUUUUGGUUUAAAAAGAAAAAUGAAGGCAGAUUUUAUUUUUUCCAAAGCAGUUACUGCCUUCUGGUAUAUUAUAUUAUAUAAUAUACCCACUUAUUACGUUUAUUGUUUACUGUUUGUCUCUCCUCACUAGAAGGAAAGGUCCAUGAGGGUGGGGUUUUUGUCUCUGUGUUUGUUGAUACAUCACCAGCACCCAGCACAGUGCCUGGCACACAGUAGGUGCUCAAUAAACACCUGUCAAAUGAAUGAAUGAAGGUACUCUGAAAUCUGGAGAAUGUUGCAAAUGUCUAUAAUAAUAACUGUAGAUAGUUGCUCAUCAGAUUUUUUUUUCAUUUGCUGGCUGAGUUUGCCAUUUAGCUGACAACCUGAGACCGAGACAGACACUCCUCAGACCGAAGACAAGGGCUAACCUUCAGUGUUUCAUCUCUAAGGCAAAACGUGGCAACAGGUUUCCUCCUGGAAAGCUUCCUGGACGACCCAGAGGAGCGCCUCUCCUCCAGGCUCCCUCCUCCAGGCGCCCUCCUCCAGGCUCCCUCCUCCAGGCCCCCUCCUCCAGGCUCCCUCCUCCAGGCCCCCUCCUCCAGGCGCCCUCCUCCAGGCUCCCUCCUCCAGGCUCCCUCAGCCCUCAUGCUCCCUCAUCACAGC
This 1016-nucleotide long non-coding RNA is filed under the name Equus caballus (horse). RNAcentral's name for it is "lncRNA (ENSECAG00000056077.1)". Lineage: Eukaryota; Metazoa; Chordata; Mammalia; Perissodactyla; Equidae. The record is from RNAcentral.